Molecule: ribosomal RNA, 864 nt
Filed under: Hexachaeta fallax
Lineage: Eukaryota; Metazoa; Arthropoda; Insecta; Diptera; Tephritidae
Description: partial 16S ribosomal RNA
Source: RNAcentral
UAGUUUUUUUAGAAAUAAAUUUAAUUUACAAAUUUUUUAUUUUUUGAUUAUUUAUAUAAUUAAAAAAAUUAUUAAUUUGAAUAUNCUAUGGGAUAAGCUUUAGAAUAAAUAAUUAAAAAUUAAUAAUUAAUAUAUAAAAUGUAUGCUUAGAAUUAGUAAUCAUUUAUGAAUUUGUUAUAAAUUAUUUUAUAAUUUUUAUUAUUUAUUAUAUUUUAAUUUAUUUAUAAAAAUGUUUUUGUUAAUAAUUAAUAAGAAGUAAUAAUGAUAGAAUUAGUAUAUUUUUUUGUUUAGAUAAUUUAAUUUGAUAAGUUUAUAUAAAGAACUCGGCAAAUAUUGUGCUCGCCUGUUUAACAAAAACAUGUCUUUUUGAGUUAUUUUUAAAGUCUGACCUGCCCACUGAGUAUUUUAAAUGGCCGCAGUAUUCUGACUGUGCAAAGGUAGCAUAANCAUUAGUCUUUUAAUUGAAGGCUGGUAUGAAUGGUUGGACGAAGUAUAUNCUGUUUCAUAUAAAUUUAUAAUUGAAUUUUAUAUUUUAGUUAAAAAGCUAAAAUUUAUUUAAAAGACGAGAAGACCCUAUAAAUCUUUAUAUUUAGUAUUGUUUAAAUUUUUUGGAUUUGUUUUAUUUUUAUUUUAUUAAAUAUUUUGUUGGGGUGAUGUUAAAAUUUAAUAAACUUUUAAUUUAUUUAAGUCAUUAAUUUAUGAUUUGUUGAUCCAUUAAUAAUGAUUAUAAGAUUAAGUUACUUUAGGGAUAACAGCGUAAUUUUUUUGGAGAGUUCAUAUCGAUAAAAAAGUUUGCGACCUCGAUGUUGGAUUAAGAAAUACCUUAGGUGUAGCCGCUUAAGUAACAAGUCUGUUCGACUUUUA